This is a non-coding RNA of Chelonoidis abingdonii (Abingdon island giant tortoise), 1710 nucleotides long. The record is from RefSeq and is a predicted model, not a curated record. Lineage: Eukaryota; Metazoa; Chordata; Testudines; Testudinidae.
GAGGACGCCCUUCCCCCUGUCAUUGAGGAUCGUCAGCUUCUCUGCAAACUUGUGCUGGUAGAUGGAGGGCAGAGACAUCUCUCCAGGUGUGAUGGAUCCUGAGCGGCUCAUCCCAUGCCCCUAUGAUAAAAACCACCAGAUCCGAGCCUCCAGGUUCCCCUACCACUUGGUCAAAUGUGGAGAGAAUAACAAGAAAAGAGCCAAAGAGCUGGCCACGUGUCCCUACAAUGCUCGCCACAGAGUCCCAAAGCGAGAGCUCCAGCUGCACAUCUCCACCUGCACAGACAACAGGGAGUCAGAGCUGUUCAGUGGGACUUCGAUGACUUUCAGUCCCAAGCAGGAACUGAAAGAGACUCCAAGAUCCUGGCAGUGUCCCCCCUGCCAGGAGGACUGGGAGGCAGACGCAAAUGAGUCUGCUGCCACGUCUCCUUUUGUUCUUGGCUUCAAGGCAAACUGUACCUUAAGCGCAAGUCAAAGUGCUGGUGAGACAAGCCAGGAUGGAAACAAGCAAAUGCAGGCCGUGAGCACCUCAGCAGCAGCAUGGACUCCGAAGGGUCACUCCUGGAGAAAUGACAUGGAUUAUAUUAGUCCUCUCAGCUGUAGCAUCACAAUGCGAGUUCACGAGCUGCUUCUUUUCAUCUAAGACCAGUAAAUCCUCUUCAGCCAGUGCUGUCCAGGAUCCAGUCCCCCAUUCGCUAGCUGCAACCCUGCAGAGGCUCUCACUUUUGGAUAAUGGUGUCCAAACUGUGCUAAAGCCUCUUACAGGUAAAGUGUUCCUUGCUGCCCCCUCCCUGCAACAAGACAGUGGAUCUAUUAACUGGGCUGCAUGCAGCAUAGUCUACCCCAGUACAAAGUGCAUUUGUCACAAGCUGCCGUCCCUUUGCGUGAGAGCUACCGCUAGAGGGUUGCAUGCAUCAUAGCUUCUGUAGGCUGAGUUCAUUGUGAACAGCAGGGACUCUUUGGGUGCUUCCACUUCUUCCCCUACUAGCUCUGUGUCAUCCUCUCAUACCCCUGCACUUUAGCCACUCCCUAAAGCCCCACUUGUGGCAGGGGCUGUGUGUACCCCAUACCAGAGUCCCCCAUAUCCCUUCCGUGCUGGAGUCCUUAAUUCUUCCCCCAUGGCAGGGGUUGUGUGCGCAUGCUCCUCCCCUCCCAAUUGCAUUCAGAAGUUGUGCUCUUUCCAAACAGAUGCCAUGAAGUUGAGUGCAGUGUUGUAGCCAUGUUGGUCCUAGGAUAUUAGAGAGAAGAUGGGUGAGGUGAUCUCUCUUACUGGACCAACUUCUACUGGGGAAAGCUUGUCUCUUGACUCACCACCUUGCAUGUAAGGCCUUGCAAACUGGGCCAAAAAUCACUCUUCUGUUGCUUUAGCUAUAGUUAAAACUCUAGCCUGUCUACAGAGUGGGUUCCUCUAGCAAUAAUCAGCAUCACAGAGCUCCCUCUUGAGGGGGCAGAUCUUACAUAAACAGGGAAGGAAACUGGCUGUAAAAGCAGCCCUGGCUGGGCAGAGCGGUGCAAUCUUGUUCUGGCAUCUCAAGUGGAUGGGAGAGUAUUGCGGUUUCCUCUAAUUUGAUUCUUGUCCACACUAUCACUGUUCCUUUAGCGGAUUACUUAGCUUCCCCUAUGUCAGAUCCUUGGAACCAUGUGCUGUGCCCUAGGGAACCCCUCCGUGUGCCUGACCCAAAGGGGUCUGUGAUGUUCUGUAUCUUGUGG